GUACGAACGCUGGCGGCGUGCUUAACACAUGCAAGUCGAGCGGUAAGGCCUUUCGGGGUACACGAGCGGCGAACGGGUGAGUAACACGUGGGUGACCUGCCUUUAGCUUCGGGAUAAGCCCUGGGAAACCGGGUCUAAUACCGGAUAUGACCUCAUGUCGCAUGGUGUGGGGUGGAAAGUUCCUUCGGCUAGAGAUGGGCCCCGCGGCCUAUCAGCUUGUUGGUGGGGUGAUGGCCUACCAAGGCGACGACGGGUAGCCGGCCUGAGA
This 268-nucleotide ribosomal RNA is filed under the name uncultured bacterium. Its description in RNAcentral is "partial 16S ribosomal RNA". It matches the Rfam family "Bacterial small subunit ribosomal RNA", at positions 27 to 297 of the family's 1533-position model. The record is from RNAcentral.